Molecule: long non-coding RNA, 293 nt
Filed under: Eucalyptus grandis
Lineage: Eukaryota; Viridiplantae; Streptophyta; Magnoliopsida; Myrtales; Myrtaceae
Description: long non-coding RNA (EGRA_LNC001588)
Source: RNAcentral
GGAAAACCCAGCUGCCCCCGAUGUUCCGGUUCGGACCCGGGUUCCGUCGCGGGUCGGGUCGGGUCGGGUCGGGUCGGGUCGGGUCGGGGGAGGACGAAUUGGUGGGUGAGCUCGCGUCGGGGGGGAGGGGGCUUUGAUCUUGCCGGAGCUUGGUCAGUAGAUUUGGCGUUCCCUCGAUCGCUGCUAAUCCUACGCUCCCCUGUCUGUCUGUCUGUCUCUCUCUUCUCUUCGCUUUCUCUCUCUUCGUUCUUGGUCGCUCUCCUAUGCUCGCACACUCACUUCUUGUUCUUUUU